GAUGAACGCUGGCGGCGUGCCUAAUACAUGCAAGUCGAGCGACCAGACGAGGAGCUUGCUGCCCUGACGUUAGCGGCGGACGGGUGAGUAACCCGUGGAUAACCUACCUAUAAGACUGGGAUAACUUCGGGAAACCGGAGCUAAUACCGGAUAAUAUAUUGAACAGCAUGGUUCGAUAGUGAACGAGGGUUUUGCUGUGCCUUAUAGAUGGAUCCACGCCGCAUUAGCUAGUUGGUAAGGUAACGGCUUACCAAGGCAACGAUGCGUAGCCGACCUGAGAGGGUGAUCAGCCACACUGGGACUGAGACACGGUCCAGACUCCUACGGGAGGCAGCAGUGGGGAAUCUUCCGCAAUGGGGGAAAGCCUGACGCAGCAACGCCGCGUGAGUGAUGAAGGUCUUCGGAUCGUAAAACUCUGUUAUUAGGGAAGAACAAAUCUGUAAUAAACUAUGCACGGCUUGACGGUACCGGAACAAAAAGCCACGGCUAACUACGUG
This 497-nucleotide ribosomal RNA is filed under the name uncultured bacterium. RNAcentral describes it as "partial 16S ribosomal RNA". It matches the Rfam family "Bacterial small subunit ribosomal RNA", at positions 28 to 507 of the family's 1533-position model. The record is from RNAcentral.